RNAcentral lists this long non-coding RNA (318 nucleotides) under Capsicum annuum. RNAcentral's name for it is "long non-coding RNA (CANN_LNC014920)". The record is from RNAcentral. Lineage: Eukaryota; Viridiplantae; Streptophyta; Magnoliopsida; Solanales; Solanaceae.
UCAGGUGAGUUUUGAUUUCAGGUUGGUUUGGAUAUAACACAAUUAGUAAUGAAAACCCCUUCGUCUCUUUGCCUACCAAUAUUUUGUCCCUUUCUCCUCUUGAAACCUCAAAAUCAAUGGGAAAUACCCUAAUGGGUUGUUUCCUCACCUAGAGAAUGAUUAUCAAUUGCCCAUGGAAAACCAAGACCCCUCCAAUUGCCAAAUUUUAUAGUCACAAUCGAAUUCAAGGAAAAUCUUAUAGUCCUAACCAACCACGGAUAAGCUUAUCAUAAAAUUAAUCUCGGGAUUAGUUUUCUCUUAUACCUUGUAGCAAAUGAG